GGAGCCGUGCCUGAAACCAAAGGGCCACUUUGAUAGAGUGGAUCAUGAGGGUUAAAGUCCCUCCGUCUCCU
RNAcentral lists this transfer RNA (71 nucleotides) under Bodianus reticulatus (Asian sheepshead wrasse). Its description in RNAcentral is "tRNA-Ile". It matches the Rfam family "tRNA". From Rfam's summary of the family: Transfer RNA (tRNA) molecules are approximately 80 nucleotides in length. Their secondary structure includes four short double-helical elements and three loops (D, anti-codon, and T loops). Lineage: Eukaryota; Metazoa; Chordata; Actinopteri; Labriformes; Labridae. The record is from RNAcentral.